UACGAAGGGUGCGAGCGUUAUUCGGAGUUACUGGGCGUAAAGAGCAUGUAGGCGGUUUGCUAAGUUAGUUGUUAAAUUCCAUGGCUUAACUAUGGACGCGCAGCUAAUACUGGUGAGCUAGAGCAUAGAAGAGAGAAGUGGAAUUCCCGGAGUAGCGGUAAAAUGCGUAGAUCUCGGGAGGAACACCGGUUGCGAAGGCGGCUUCUUGGUCUAUUGCUGACGCUAAAGUGCGAAAGCGUGGGGAGCAAACAGG
This 253-nucleotide ribosomal RNA is filed under the name uncultured bacterium. RNAcentral's name for it is "partial 16S ribosomal RNA". It matches the Rfam family "Bacterial small subunit ribosomal RNA", at positions 524 to 776 of the family's 1533-position model. The record is from RNAcentral.